AACGAAUCCCAGUCCUGGGUGUGGCAUCUGGCAUCUUAAGUGGCCACCUGAAGAGCUGGAUGACACAGUCCAGAAGUCUGGUGUGCUAAUUCCCAUGGAACAAACUUUGGUCACUGGGAAACUGAAGAUGGGAGGGAGAAAAUGCUUCAUGGUUCCAGCAUUUGUUUGAGGAUCUAUGUCCCAUCUCACAUCAAUUUUUGUUCAUGGAGUGAGGCCAUGAAAGAAAGAUGAAGAAGAUCCUUGGGCCUGUACAAAUUUGGGAAAAAGAGUCACCCUAUUAGUCAGUAAGUUUUGUUUGUUUGAUUCUGUUUAAUCCUGAAUCUGAGGACUAAUCUUAGAGUAAGGCAAAACAGAAAGAGUUUUCAGAGGCACCUAGUUGGACCCAGAAAGAGAAAAUGGCAGUUACUUUGGCUGU
Long non-coding RNA from Aethalodelphis obliquidens (Pacific white-sided dolphin), 415 nucleotides. RefSeq lists it as uncharacterized. NCBI's taxonomy places the organism in Eukaryota, Metazoa, Chordata, Mammalia, Artiodactyla, Delphinidae. The transcript is spliced from 3 exons. The record is from RefSeq and is a predicted model, not a curated record.